AAAAAAAAUGUAUUAUCAUCUCAGGCUAUCCCCAGCUCCCCACCAGCAUCCUUAUCCAUCCACAUGCGUCGUCUUCUCCGAUUAGCAGCCGGUGGAUGAAGAUGUCGCCGCUAGCCAUCACCGAACUGAUUCUCAAGCCAUCCCGACUCCACUUCUCGAUUCAUUUCUCCAAUUUCUCCUCGUCGAUGUACUGCGGCAGUUGGCCGUGUGCGCGGAGUGCGUGGACGCGUUUGUCGCGUUCUGAAGGAUGUGGCGGAGCGGCCAUGGGGAGGAGCAGGGAAACACAAAAGCUGCACUGCUCAACCUCUUCAUGGUCGAUGGCUUUUUACCAAGAACAAUGAACUGAAAGAAGUGCAUAAUGGCAGCGCGGGGCAAAGCUAGCGGUAUGCAACAGCAGAGAGGCCAUUGAUUUGCUUAUAUCCGGUUCUGCUAUUAAGUUACUGAAGCAAGGCCAGAAGUGCUUUGGCUGACUUCUUCCAACGUUGAUUGGAGCAAUUGUGCCUGGCUUUGUUGGGCGACCGGCAUGCUUUGGCGUGACUUCAUCGGGCGUUGUGUGAAGCGGCUGGGCAUGGAUUUUCGUGGUAGCUCUGUCAACUUCAAUCUGGUCAAGUCAUGGUGAUUGUUGACUUCUAAUUGCUUGGUGUGCGAUUGUGCGGCCGACUGUACUUGUUUAUAUGGGUUGAGGUGGCUGGGUUUGAGAUGGCCGAGACGUGUGGAAAUCUGAUUGUAACCUACUUGGAUCCUUUCUUUUUUGGAUUUUUCAUUCAGGUGA
Long non-coding RNA from Triticum dicoccoides, 772 nucleotides. RefSeq lists it as uncharacterized. The transcript is spliced from 3 exons. The record is from RefSeq and is a predicted model, not a curated record. Lineage: Eukaryota; Viridiplantae; Streptophyta; Magnoliopsida; Poales; Poaceae.